Long non-coding RNA from Columba livia (rock pigeon), 3068 nucleotides. RefSeq lists it as uncharacterized. The transcript is spliced from 4 exons. NCBI's taxonomy places the organism in Eukaryota, Metazoa, Chordata, Aves, Columbiformes, Columbidae. The record is from RefSeq and is a predicted model, not a curated record.
CACUUUUGCAGAACAAACUGACAGCUAGGGCAUUCCCUUGGGAGAGGAGACUGGAGGUCCUCAGGUAGGGUGUUUAUUCUCCAGAUUGUUUCUGGUUUUUGAUUUAGUCUCAAAAUGAAUACAAUGAAGAAUGCAUACUUAAUCUGGGGAGAGUAUGUAUGAGUCUGUCCACACUCAUCGAACUAAGCAUCCAGAUCACCAGUAUAACACUUUGUUCUGACAUUUCUGGCUUCCUAACAAUUUUCAGCAAACACAGAUGAAGAUGUACUUGUUCUAUUAACCACUGUCUAAGGCAUUCACAAAUGAAAUACAGCAUAUAGGUUUGAAUGCCCUUAGAGAAGAGAGGCUGUGAGAGUUGGUCCGGAGAUGGAGCAGUAUUUGCCUGAACAUUGCCAUCAAGAACUUAGAGAACUGAAGCCCUGACAGAAAAAACACAUGGACAAUGACUUGGAGAGAAGUCCGAGGAGAAGCAUUGUGUUGCACUGUUUCUCCGAUUCGGGGGGGCUGCUACUAACAAUGGCUGCUGUGUGGACUUUGCCUGCUGCUUCAGCUAAACGAGCCCUAGCGUCCUGAAAGCUAUUGUUAUGAGGAUCUCUUUGACGCAGGGACAAUAGCUGCCGUCCAGAAGAAUGUGUUCUCACCUGCAGCCUCAGUUACAUGUGUCCCUCCCCUGCUCCCUCAAACAAUGGCUAACGAAAAGGAACAUGCCCAGAAGCUUGCCAAGGGUCCUGAGGUCACCAAAUGGACCAGAAAAAGACCACUGAAUGCUGGACACGUAAGCGUUGGCAGAAGAAAUAGUGAAUCUUUUGAGCCUGCGCAGUACAAGCUUGGGUUGCGAAAUCAAGGCAGAGGCUGGUCUAAAACAAUGGGAGCAAGUAGGGGUGAAGAAGCAUAAAAGAUGACUCCAGAAUGAACACUGUUGAAGAUCUUCCCACCAGAGGAUCCUGAACCAUGACGGAGGACCAGCAGGACUCCACAGGACUGCAGACCAGAGGAACACUUUUGGAACUGGACUGGUGGUGAAUUUGAGUUCCACUCAUCACCUUGAAUAAAUGGAGGUCCCUGGAGUAUUCUGUGUUCUGAACCAUGUGCCAGAUGCAUAGCUAAGGGUGCAGUGCUGAGAGUACCAAGUGAGACUAAAGCACGUGCUGUGAUGAGUCAAUACUUACAGCAUUCUGCAUUUUGCAGCAAAGCAAAGAACAGAAGCAAGAUACUAAUUUAAACUACAUCUUGGACGCCUUUGUGACCUGAAGCUGGAUUCCUCUUGCCUACCUGGAGUGAAGAACUGAACUGGCACAAGACCCUGAUGGUGGUUGUGCAGGGCUUGGUGAAGAAACAUCCUGUGCUGUGUCCAACGAGGCAGUUCUGGGAGUACUCUUCAGUCCUGGUUCACAUAAGACCAGGUAUAUGUGUGGCAGAAUGCAACCCCCCCUCUCUCCCCCUCCCUCCUUCAGUAUGGAAGGAGUGGGCACAUCUCCCUCUCUCUCUGCUACUUGAGGCUAACAGCUUCUUUUGUUUGGCCCCAGAGCACCGUGGCUCCUGGGCCAUUAGUAGAAGGGAGUGCCAAGGCACACUGAGCCACGCCCAGCGUGGGGGAUGUUUGGAGGCUUCAGGGGCACCCACAGACAGUGUGCGGGUGCAGAGAAGCUUCUAGAGUGCCUACAGUCAGAUCUGAUCAGCCAGUAUAAAAACGGGAUUCUCAUCGAGACUCCGCCCAUUGCCGCGGGUCUCUAGGAGCACGAGCAAGAUGCUGCCGCCGACAGCCCCCCUCCCCGGGAUGGGGACUCCGCUUGCCUUGCCGCCACGUGUGUAAGUAAAACUUCUCGCAGGAUGGCGAGUAUAUUUAUAAUUUUCGUGCACAUAUGCACGUAUAACUUUUCGCGCUCCAUAUGAGAGUGUGUAAAAUUAAUCUUCGCACAAUCGCGGGUGUAUUUUCCUUCCGUGCACAUAUGCACGUGUAACUUUCCGUGCACAUUUGCACGCGUACUUUAAAUUAUUUUCUCGCACAAUUGCGAGUGUAUUUUCCUUCCGUUCACACUUGCACGCAUAACUUUCCGUGCCAAAUACGAGCACGUGUAUAAAUUAUUUCCUCGCACAAUCGCGAGUGGCUGCCGAGAGCCCCUCACACAAUCGUGAGUGUAUUUUCCUCCCGUGCUUCCACAUAAGCACGUGUAGGAUUCCGUGCACACUUGCACGUGUAAGUAAAUUAUCUCUCGCAGGAUUGCGGUUGUACUAUAAAUUUACCCUCGUGGAAUCGUGAGUGUACACUUCCCGUACUCACUACGAGUACGUGUAUCUCUUUAAAAUAAUCCUGCACUGUGUUUAGGCAAGUGUGUAUUUCUCCAGGACUCAGGGACAGCUCCGGCAUUGUUUUGGGUGAAGCCACGUGCAUGCACUCUGUGACCGCCUGUUGUACUAGUUGCUGCCCUUAAAUAAUUUUCCUCAACUGAUAUCCGAACCUGUAUUUAAGUCACUUUUGGAGUGCUAAAACCCUGUUUCUCACCGAUUUAAUAAAAGCUGGUUUUGGAUCUUGCUGUCCCUUAAAUUAACCUACGGGGUGCCUCCGUGACAAUGAUGUUUUAAUUAUCUCCUUUAGGAAGCUUGAGUUACAGCUCUCUGCAUAUCCCUUCUGACUUCGCUGGGGCUGCCAUGGAAAAUGUUGUGGUCCUUGCAGUUAAGGACCCUGAGGCCAGUGCAGCCCUCAGGGACUGGACAGCUAAAGCCUGCACAGUGCUGCAUCCAUCCACACAGAAGUCACCCCUGGCACAACUAAGUGCUGCUGACACCUUGCAUUUCCACCAGAAGUGCAAAGCUGGGCAUCUCAACAACAAUUUCCAUGCCAUCUGGAACUGACACUGUAUACAGACUGAAGAAGAAUAAGCAAAUGCUCACCUAACAAAACUGACAACUUAAGAUAAAAAUGUGGAAGUGGCAGGGAAUAAUUUGUUUAAAGCAUGUUUAAGUGUCAUGUGUUCUUAUGUUCUGGGAAGUUUCCUCACAUAUCUGUAAAAUCUCCAUUGCCUCUACUUUUUUUGCACAAAUGAUUCAACAGCAUAAAUAAUCUCACC